RNAcentral lists this ribosomal RNA (465 nucleotides) under uncultured bacterium. RNAcentral's name for it is "partial 16S ribosomal RNA". It matches the Rfam family "Bacterial small subunit ribosomal RNA", at positions 28 to 507 of the family's 1533-position model. The record is from RNAcentral.
GACGAACGCUGGCGGCGUGCUUAACACAUGCAAGUCGAACGGAAAGGCCCCUUUGGGGGUACUCGAGUGGCGAACGGGUGAGUAACACGUGAGUAACCUGCCCUUGACUUCGGGAUAACUUCAGGAAACUGGGGCUAAUACCGGAUAGGAAUCCUUGCUGCAUGGUGGGGGUUGGAAAGCUUCGGCGGUUUUGGAUGGACUCGCGGCUUAUCAGCUUGUUGGUGGGGUAGUGGCUUACCAAGGCUUUGACGGGUAGCCGGCCUGAGAGGGCGACCGGCCACAUUGGGACUGAGAUACGGCCCAGACGCCUGCGGGAGGCAGCAGUGGGGAGUAUUGCACGAUGGGCGGCAGCCUGAUGCCGCAACGCCGCGUGCGGGAUGACGGCCUUCGGGUUGUAAGCCGCUUUCAGCAGGGGCGAAGCUUGUGGUGACGGUACCUGCAGAAGAAGCACCGGCUAACUACGUG